GCAAGUCGAACGAGAAAGUUCCUGCUUGCAGGAACGAGUAGAGUGGCGCACGGGUGAGUAACACGUGGAUAAUCUACCUUUUAAUCGGGAAUAACUAUUCGAAAGGGGAGUAAUACCGGAUGAAGUUUUCAUGCCUUUGGGUGUGAAGAUGAAAGGGAGCCUCUGAUAUAAGCUUCUGUUUGAAGAUGAGUCCGCGUACCAUUAGCUGGCUGGUGGGGUAAAGGCCUACCAGGGCGACGAUGGUUAGCUGGUCUGAGAGGAUGAUC
Molecule: ribosomal RNA, 266 nt
Filed under: uncultured bacterium
Lineage: Bacteria
Description: partial 16S ribosomal RNA
Rfam family: Bacterial small subunit ribosomal RNA
Source: RNAcentral